GGGGUUAGUAGGUGUUGGAGGUUGUUCUGGUCUGGAGCGUCAGUGUGGUGGGGGUUAGUAGGUGUUGGAGGUUGUUCUGGUCUGGAGGGUCAGUGUGGUGGGGGUUAGUAGGUGUUGGACUGGGUUGUUCUGGUCUGGAGCAUCAGUGUGGUGGGGGUUAGUAGGUGUUGGAGGUUGUUCUGCUCUGGAGGGUCAGUGUGGUGGGGGUUAGUAGGUGUUGGAGGUUGUUCUGGUCUGGAGCGUCAGUGUGGUGGGGGUUAGUAGGUCUUGGAGGUUGUUCUGGUCUGGAGCGUCAGUGUGGUGGGGGUUAGUAGAUGUUGGACUUGGUUGUUCUGGUCUGGAGGGUCAGUGUGGUGGGGGUUAGUAGGUGUUGGAGGUUGUUCUGGUCUGGAGGGUCAGUGUGGUGGUGGUUAGUAGGUGUUGGAGGUUGUUCUGGUCUGGAGCAUCAGUGUGGUGGGGGUUAGUAGGUGUUGGAGGUUGUUCUGGUCUGGAGGGUCAGUGUGGUGGGGGUUAGUAGGUGUUGGAGGUUGUUCUGGUCUGGAGGGUCAGUGUGGUGGGGGUUAGUAGAUGUUGGACUUGGUUGUUCUGGUCUGGAGGGUCAGUGUGG
This is a long non-coding RNA of Ictalurus punctatus (channel catfish), 607 nucleotides long. The record is from Ensembl. NCBI's taxonomy places the organism in Eukaryota, Metazoa, Chordata, Actinopteri, Siluriformes, Ictaluridae.